Molecule: ribosomal RNA, 528 nt
Filed under: Triticum aestivum (bread wheat)
Lineage: Eukaryota; Viridiplantae; Streptophyta; Magnoliopsida; Poales; Poaceae
Description: partial small subunit ribosomal RNA
Source: RNAcentral
AUGGAAAGCAAUAGAGCCCCUGGCCCUGACAAUAUACCCGCGGAGUUUUAUAAGCACUGCUGGGAGUUCGUUAAAAAUGAUAUUAUGCGUUUGUUUGAAGCUUUUCAUAAUAAUACCCUAGAUGUGGCUCGGCUGAACUAUGGGGUUAUCACCCUGAUCCCUAAGAUAAAUGGGGCAAAGAAAAUACAGCAAUAUCGCCCCAUAUGCCUCCUUAGAUGCCCCUACAAGUUGAUUACCAAGGUUUUGGAUAAUAGAGUUGCGGUGUUUGCUGACAAAUUAAUUAGCAAAUACCAGAAUGCCUUCAUCAAACACAGAAACAUUAUGGAUGGCAUCCUCACCCUCCAUGAGGUGUUGCAUCAUACCCAUGUUAAGAAGAAAACUGGGAUAGUUCUAAAGUUGGACUUCGAGAAGGCCUACGACAAGAUAAAUUGGGACUUUCUCCUUGAGUGCCACCGUAACUAUGGUUUCGGAGUGACCUGGUGUGGUUGGGUAGAAAAAAAUACUACACAAUGGCACCUUGAGCAUUAA